UGAACGCUGGCGGCGUGCCUAAUACAUGCAUGUCGAGCGAACAGACGAGGAGCUUGCUCCUCUGACGUUAGCGGCGGACGGGUGAGUAACACGUGGAUAACCUACCUAUAAGACUGGGAUAACUUCGGGAAACCGGAGCUAAUACCGGAUAAUAUAUUGAACCGCAUGGUUCAAUAGUGAAAGACGGUUUUGCUGUCACUUAUAGAUGGAUCCGCGCCGCAUUAGCUAGUUGGUAAGGUAACGGCUUACCAAGGCGACGAUGCGUAGCCGACCUGAGAGGGUGAUCGGCCACACUGGAACUGAGACACGGUCCAGACUCCUACGGGAGGCAGCAGUAGGGAAUCUUCCGCAAUGGGCGAAAGCCUGACGGAGCAACGCCGCGUGAGUGAUGAAGGUCUUCGGAUCGUAAAACUCUGUUAUUAGGGAAGAACAAAUGUGUAAGUAACUAUGCACGUCUUGACGGUACCUAAUCAGAAAGCCACGGCUAACUACGUG
RNAcentral lists this ribosomal RNA (495 nucleotides) under uncultured bacterium. RNAcentral describes it as "partial 16S ribosomal RNA". It matches the Rfam family "Bacterial small subunit ribosomal RNA", at positions 30 to 507 of the family's 1533-position model. The record is from RNAcentral.